GGGGAUGAUCGGCUUCGAUGGGAGCAUGACGCGGCAAAAAUCGGGCCGAGAACGCAAGAACACUCGUAAAACGCUUGCAACCGAAUAAGUGCAAACUUGUUCCGAUCCUUUGCUGCGCGACCUGCGCUUGCAGUAGCGUAAUGAAGGCCCUCCGGUUUUUCCGGGGGCAUCGGCCUCUCAAUGCUCGUGAGGGAGCCCGCCGGUGUUAUACCACCGAGCUUUGACGGUCGCAACGUCCGAUAGCGGCCGUGACAUGUAUCGGGCAAAACCUUUCCGUAGCAAUACGGAAUACGCUCGUAGAAAUUUUUGCCGAGGAAACUUCCAGACGGGGGUUCGAUUCCCCCCAUCUCCAAAA
RNAcentral lists this transfer-messenger RNA (355 nucleotides) under Candidatus Sungbacteria bacterium RIFCSPHIGHO2_02_FULL_47_11. It matches the Rfam family "transfer-messenger RNA". From Rfam's summary of the family: Bacterial tmRNA, also known as 10Sa RNA or SsrA, is named for its dual tRNA and mRNA-like properties. Its role is to liberate the mRNA from a stalled ribosome. RNAcentral also lists the same sequence under 1 other name. The record is from RNAcentral. Lineage: Bacteria; Candidatus Sungiibacteriota.